GCUUCGGUUGUGGUCAACACAGCGACUAAUUUAACGAAUUCUUUAUUUUCUUAGGGAUACGUGAGACGUUUUGGCAAGGUUGGAGGACUCAAAGAAGCGCAAGGCUGCUGCGCAGAAGGGGAUGCUCACCGAGCUACUGCCACGGUCACUUCAGCCAGGGCGACAGCCAAGGAACUUGUCAAAGCAGCAGUUUGAAAAGGUGUUUGAUAUGCUGAAAUACAGGUGUGGAAAUACUUUAGUCAUGGGCCAUAGGAUUAAAAACACACUGACCAAAUCAUCGGAAACUUCAAAUGAAGAGGACAUUUUGAGCCUAGAAAGACAGGCUUUUUUGUCUCUGUGAGAAAUGAUGUCUAAUUUGGUCCGAGCGGUUGGAUUGCUUGUCAGGUGCGUUAUUUUAACUAUGGACAGUGAAUGACAAAACAAUAGGGC
RNAcentral lists this long non-coding RNA (429 nucleotides) under Sinocyclocheilus grahami. RNAcentral describes it as "lncRNA (ENSSGRG00000038738.1)". Lineage: Eukaryota; Metazoa; Chordata; Actinopteri; Cypriniformes; Cyprinidae. The record is from RNAcentral.